Molecule: long non-coding RNA, 292 nt
Filed under: Salvia miltiorrhiza (redroot sage)
Lineage: Eukaryota; Viridiplantae; Streptophyta; Magnoliopsida; Lamiales; Lamiaceae
Description: long non-coding RNA (SMIL_LNC009738)
Source: RNAcentral
UUGUAAUUCCUGACUGCAGUGGGGAGCACAAUAGCUGAGUUCGUGGCCUCUAUGAUAGGCCGGGUAAAAUCUCCCAUGUACUGCAAAUUUUUUCCUGCCAUCUCCUCAACUCCAACGCUAGACAAAAGAGACUCGGUACUCUCUCCUAGGCUUCAAGCACCUCGUGUGCACGGUGAGCGUUGUCAAGAAGAAUGUCAAAUUCCUGUUAAGACUUUAACUCCCUAGCAACACAACACUCAACAAAACAGAUCAAACGCACCAGUGGGAAAAAAAUAACCGAGCAAAAAUAAAA